Molecule: ribosomal RNA, 429 nt
Filed under: uncultured bacterium
Lineage: Bacteria
Description: bacterial SSU rRNA
Rfam family: Bacterial small subunit ribosomal RNA
Source: RNAcentral
UGGGGAAUAUUGGACAAUGGGCGAAAGCCUGAUCCAGCCAUGCCGCGUGUGUGAAGAAGGUCUUCGGAUUGUAAAGCACUUUAAGUUGGGAGGAAGGGUAGUAACUUAAUACGUUGCUAUUUUGACGUUACCGACAGAAUAAGCACCGGCUAACUUCGUGCCAGCAGCCGCGGUAAUACGAAGGGUGCAAGCGUUAAUCGGAAUUACUGGGCGUAAAGCGCGCGUAGGUGGUUCAGUAAGUUGGAUGUGAAAUCCCCGGGCUCAACCUGGGAACUGCAUCCAAAACUGCUGAACUAGAGUACGGUAGAGGGUGGUGGAAUUUCCUGUGUAGCGGUGAAAUGCGUAGAUAUAGGAAGGAACACCAGUGGCGAAGGCGACCACCUGGACUGAUACUGACACUGAGGUGCGAAAGCGUGGGGAGCAAACAGG